Long non-coding RNA from Glycine soja, 2163 nucleotides. RefSeq lists it as uncharacterized. NCBI's taxonomy places the organism in Eukaryota, Viridiplantae, Streptophyta, Magnoliopsida, Fabales, Fabaceae. The record is from RefSeq and is a predicted model, not a curated record. The transcript is spliced from 3 exons.
UAGCAUUGCAUUAUUCUCCACUAAUCCAAGCAGAGCAUCCUCUGAUACAGUCAACGCUACCACAACAACACGGAUCCAACACUCACUCUCUCUUACAACCAUCUUGUUCCGAAUCGAAGAAGCUAUGCCACAUCCCCGCCCUCUCCAUCUACACCCGCCUCGCCGUGUUCUCCAUCACCGUCGUCACCCACUCCUUCGCCGGCCACCUCCAUCUCCUGCACCCUCCUCAUCUCCAUCACCUUCGGUUUCUUGGAAGUAACCCACCCCAUCCAAAACACUUUCCACUUACCACCACCUUUCUUUCACUAUUUCCCACUAUUUUAUUCGCAAAUGUUAAUCGUUAGUUUGGUAGUUUUUGUUAAAGAGAUUAUUCCUCUUUUUUUAGUUGGGUAUGGUUAGUGCGCUUGAGACACUAUGCGGCCAGGCCUACUGCGCAGGACAUCACCGCAUGUUGGGCGUUUACUUGCAACGCUCGCGGGUUGUUCCUGUCUUCCAUUCUGAUGUUGCCGGUGUUCAUUUUUGUCACGCCCGUGUUGAAGUUAAUAGGGAAACCUAUUGCGGUGGCGGAACAGGCGGGUUUAGUGGCGCUUUGGUUGAUCCGUUUCACCUGAGCUCCCCGUUCCAGUUCACUUUGCAGCGGUUUCUUCAGUGCCAGUUGAAGACUGACAUCAUUGCUUGGGUUUCAAGGUGACUCUUGUAAAAUUUGUAAGAUUUUUUUAUAUUAAUAAUUAUAGGAAAUAAACAUGAUAUUGAAAUCUAUGUUUCAUAAAUAAUAAAUAAUUUAUAAACAAUAUGUAUAUUUUUUUAUAAUUAGACUUCUCUCACUUGCACAAAGAGACUUUAUUUUACAUUAGUAAAUAUUAAUUCUCUUUAUAACUAUUACUUUCAUUAGUUGCUUUUAAAAAUUUCUGUUAUUUAAUCUAAUUACAAUUUAAUUUUUAAUUAUUAUUUACUUAUUUAUUAAUUCUUACUUUAGUCACAUAUCUUUCAUAUCAUAUUUUAAUUCUAACACUAUUCAUGUUAUAGUGAGUUAGGUUUUUGUUUAAAGGAUAAGAAAUGGGAUUGUUGGCACUGCUCUUUCUAUUGGUUUCUCGUGGUGGCUCUCUGUUUUGGGAAUGCUCGGGUAUCCACUCUUUGGUGGGUGCCCUCGCUCGUGGACUGGUUUUUCUGCUGAAGCUUUUAUUGGUCUUUGGGAAUUCUUUAAACCGUCUUUGGCUUCUGGGGUCAUGCUUGCGUUAGUCUUCUUUCUACCACUGUAGUAUUGUUUGGAUAAACCUGUCCGGGAGUACUAAGAAAUUUGUGUUAUUUAACUUUUUCAAAAGCUGAGCUGAAUACCUUCUAUUUUCUUUUCUGAAUGUUGAUUAAGAAAUUAGGGUAAAAUGGACCUUGCUUAGGACAACAGUUGGAUAAAGUUCUAAGUAGUUUCUUAUCUUGAAGUCUUUGAAAGAUAUUUUUUUUAAUUACAAAUAUUAAUUAUUAGUUCGUUAAUUUUCUAAUAAAAAAAAUUUAAACAUGUAAGCUUUGUAUCUUUUCUUCUCUGUCAAUCAUUAGAUUAAUCUUAUAACUUCUCCCAUUGAAAGUUAAGUGAGUUGUCAUCAUAAUAUUGACAAUAUUUGAUGUAAUAUUAUGGGAGUGGCUGUUGGAUCCGGAUGGCAAGCACAUGUAGCAUACAUAAAUAUAGGAUGCUACUACCUUAUCGGGCUCCCCUCGGAAUUAUCAUGGGCUGGGUCUUCAAAAGUGAUGUAACUGGAAUCUUGGGCGGGCAUGAUCUUCGGUGGCACAGCAAUCCAAACGCUGAUACUGAUUAUAGUAACGAUACGAUGUGAUUGGGAAAAGGAGGGGAGAAAGCUUGCUUUCGUGUAAAUAAGUGGUCAAAAAAUCCAACUCCAACGGCCAACUGAAAACCUACAAUUAACAUUAAUUGAUUUAGCCGAUGGAGUUUGCUAUUCGCCAAUCUGAGGUCUGUGAGUUAAUGAUGGAGUUUUGGCGUUGUAUGCGUAUAGUAUAUUGUUCUUUCAAUAUAGUUGUUGUAUUCAAAAUUAAAGGCCCGGUUAUUCUUUAGGAUAGCUAUGUCUGUCAAUAUGUUUUACAUUCGCAGUUGAACUUUUGAGAUCCCCGCUCACCGACAACCCAGUUCUAAUUCCAACCUAUGCUUUUACUUCA